Molecule: non-coding RNA, 1457 nt
Organism: Cyanistes caeruleus (blue tit)
Lineage: Eukaryota; Metazoa; Chordata; Aves; Passeriformes; Paridae
Source: RefSeq, a predicted model, not a curated record
GGAAAAUAAACCUAACAAAGGCAGGCCAGGAAGCUUCCUCCAGCCAGAAAGAAUGUGAGAUCACAGCCUACCUGCCUCCCUCCCAAAACUUGGUAAGGUAUCAGAGCUGAGAAGAUCACUGCUGGUGACAGGUGCUUGAUUCAGCACAUCAUGAAAGCCUAGAAGACUCAGGGAAGUGACUCAAAGUCCCAAGAAAGAAGUUAUACUGAUGAAAGAACCACUUAAGGGAAUACAGACAGCUCUGUUUGUACGAAUGACAGCAGAAUGUCAUUUUUCCUCAGUUUCCAUGGGUGCAUGGCACAGCUGAGUUGUGCCUGUCCUGACAGUUCUCAGCUGAUGGACACAUUGGAAGAAACAGCUGUUUGUGAUAUUACAUUGUACACAAUUCUGCUUAAAGAAGACAUUAGAUACGCUGAGGGCAUUUGCCUUGUGCUCUCAACAUGGAGAAUGUCUGCAGCUGACAAUCAACCCAGUGAAGCAAAAAGCAAUGUGUAGUGGAGGAGAAAUUGUGUAUUGGAGUGUUGACAUAUUCUAUUUAUAAAUUUCCUGUUAAAAGUACAUGUUCCAUGAACAGAGAUCACAGAACAACAGAAUCCCAGAAUCACAGAAUUACAGAAUGGGUAGUGUUGGAAGGGACCACAGUAGGUCGUCUGGCCCAGCAUCCCUGCUCAGAGAUGGGAAAAUGCUGCUUGUAAAUCCUUUUGCAAUGUGUUUGGCGGUCCUAUUUCCACACUCAGGUGCCUGGCUGAAGAAUGAAGUGUUAUUACAGUGAACUGUUGUUUAUGUUUCUUUUUAACAACUGUGGUCUCAUAAUGUCAUUCAUAAAACCAAAAAUGAACACCAGUUUCCAUCCUGUCUUCCUAAGAUUCAAGAUUUGUUCUUGACGAACACAAAUAGGUAAUACUAUCAUCUGGCUUAAACAACACAGAAAAAAAAUAUUAAAGUUGUGAUGUUAUUCAAGGAUGUUUAACCCCUAAUUUAUAACAAAUUAUAGUACAGGACAUCAGUCCUCAGAAAUAUUCCUGAAGUGCUCUGAUGUUUUAGAUGUUGCUGAUUUCAAUCUGAUAGUACUGUUGGUUCAAAAAAGAAAUAGUUCUUUGGACAGAAAUCAAAUAUCUUGUUGAUACCUAAUUUAGUGUCUUCAUGAAUUAACAUUUUAUAAGAGCUUGCUUCCUCUCUUUGAAAGCAGUAGAUAAGUAUAUGGAAUAACAGACUCCCUUAAUUAUCUUGAACAUACUAAUAUGACAUACUUUAAAACACUAGUAGUGUCUUGUAGAAAUUAAUGUUACUAAAUAAUGAUACUAGCUAAUUAAAUUGAAAGGAAAAUUUGUAUGUGUGUGACAGAAAGGAGGCAAAACAUAUGACAUGGCAUAAAUCCCUAUUCCUGUUCAAAUUAGCAACUAAUUCACUGGUUGUGUUAGUUACCCUUCCAAUCAAAGUAUGGGAGGAAGAGUGAA